Small nuclear RNA from Molossus molossus (Pallas's mastiff bat), 102 nucleotides. Lineage: Eukaryota; Metazoa; Chordata; Mammalia; Chiroptera; Molossidae. The record is from RefSeq and is a predicted model, not a curated record.
CUGCUCACUUCAGAAGCAUAUAUUCUAUGACUGGAAUGAUGCAGAGAAGCUUGGCUUGGCCCCUGAGCAAGGAUGACACGCCCAUUCGCGUUCCAUAUUGAA